UACGUAGGCAGCAAGCGUUGUUCGGAGUUACUGGGCGUAAAGAGUGCGUAGGCGGAUUCGUAAGUUUGGUGUGAAAUCUCCCGGCUUAACUGGGAGGGUGCGGCGAAAACUGCGUGGCUGGAGUGUGGGAGAGGCAAGCGGAAUUUCUGGUGUAGCGGUGAAAUGCGUAGAUAUCAGGAGGAACACCGGUGGUGAAGACGGCUUGCUGGACCAUGACUGACGCUUAGGCACGCAAGGGUGGGGAGCAAACAGG
RNAcentral lists this ribosomal RNA (253 nucleotides) under uncultured bacterium. RNAcentral's name for it is "partial 16S ribosomal RNA". It matches the Rfam family "Bacterial small subunit ribosomal RNA", at positions 524 to 776 of the family's 1533-position model. The record is from RNAcentral.